AUGUAAUGACUCAUUUCCUCGAUGUACAUAAUGCGAAAGUCAAAUCUUGUCAAGAUGUUUACUUUGAUCAAUAUUGAACAAACCGUGCGCCAGUGCUCUGAUUAAUGUUAACAUACAAAGUUAAUGACGAAUAAUUCAAAGGAUAUUGUUGUUGUUUUUACGUCUGGUUGUUGUGAUGGUUGAUAAUAUUAAUAUUUUCUUAUACCAGGGGGCUGCCGCCCCUGGACCCCCGCAAAUGUCAGCUUAUUUUGGUUUAAUUCAUCAUACGAUAACGCAUUUCUUCGAGUUUAUGUGCCUCAAUUACAAUUUUCGUAGUUCUCGUGAUAAAAAAAGUAUCUCAA
This is a long non-coding RNA of Bradysia coprophila, 341 nucleotides long. NCBI's taxonomy places the organism in Eukaryota, Metazoa, Arthropoda, Insecta, Diptera, Sciaridae. The record is from RefSeq and is a predicted model, not a curated record.